AGCAGCCGCGGUAAUUCCAGCUCCAAUAGCGUAUAUUAAAGUUGUUGCAGUUAAAAGGCUCGUAGUUGAAUUUCGGGAUUAGUACGCUGGUCAUGCCUUUGGUAUGUACUGGUGUUACUGGUUUCUACCUUCUGAAGAACCGUUAUGUCAUUUAUUUGGUGUGGCGGGAAAUCAGGACUGUUACUUUGAAAAAAUUAGAGUGUUUAAAGCAGGCUCGCGCUUGAAUACAUUAGCAUGGAAUAAUGAAAUAGGACGUUUGACCCUAUUUUGUUGGUUUCUAGGAUCGACGUAAUGAUUAAUAGGGAUAGUUGGGGGCAUUAGUAUUCAAUUGUCAGAGGUGAAAUUCUUGGAUUUAUUGAAGACUAACUACUGCGAAAGCAUUUGCCAAGGAUGUUUUCAUUAAUCAAGAACGAAAGUUAGGGGAUCGAAGACGAUCAGAUACCGUCGUAGUCUUAACCAUAAACUAUGCCGACUAGGGAUCGGAUGAUGUUAUUUUUAAUGACUCAUUCGGCGCCUUACG
This 520-nucleotide ribosomal RNA is filed under the name uncultured Glomeromycotina. Its description in RNAcentral is "SSU rRNA". It matches the Rfam family "Eukaryotic small subunit ribosomal RNA", at positions 569 to 1092 of the family's 1831-position model. Lineage: Eukaryota; Fungi; Glomeromycota. The record is from RNAcentral.